CUGAGUACGGCGGAACACGUGAAAUUCCGUCGGAAUCCGGGAGGACCAUCUCCCAAGGCUAAAUACUCCCUAGUGACCGAUAGUGAACCAGUACCGUGAGGGAAAGGUGAAAAGCACCCCGGAAGGGGAGUGAAACAGUUCCUGAAACCGUGUGCCUACAAGUAGUUAGAGCCCGUUAAUGGGUGAUAGCGUGCCUUUUGUAGAAUGAACCGGCGAGUUACGAUUUGUUGCAAGGUUAAGCGGAAAAAGCGGAGCCGUAGCGAAAGCGAGUCUGAAUAGGGCGCAUAAGUAACAGGUCGUAGACCCGAAACCAGGUGAUCUACCCAUGUCCAGGAUGAAGGUAAGGUAAUACUUACUGGAGGUCCGAACCCACGCACGUUGAAAAGUGCGGGGAUGAGGUGUGGGUAGCGGAGAAAUUCCAAUCGAACUUGGAGAUAGCUGGUUCUCUCCGAAAUAGCUUUAGGGCUAGCCUCGAGGUAAAGAGUCAUGGAGGUAGAGCACUGUUUGGACUAGGGGCCCUUCUCGGGUUACCGAAUUCAGAUAAACUCCGAAUGCCAUGUACUUAUACUCGGGAGUCAGACUGCGAGUGAUAAGAUCCGUAGUCGAAAGGGAAACAGCCCAGACCACCAGUUAAGGUCCCCAAAUAUAUGUUAAGUGGAAAAGGAUGUGGGGUUGCUUAGACAACCAGGAUGUUGGCUUAGAAGCAGCCACCAUUGAAAGAGUGCGUAAUAGCUCACUGGUCGAGUGACCCCGCGCCGAAAAUGUACCGGGGCUAAACAUAUUACCGAAACUGUGGAUGAACCUCUUUAGAGGUUCGUGGUAGGAGAGCGUUCUAAGGGCGGUGAAGUCAGACCGGAAGGACUGGUGGAGCGCUUAGAAGUGAGAAUGCCGGUAUGAGUAGCGAAAGAAGGGUGAGAAUCCCUUCCACCGAAUAUCUAAGGUUUCCUGAGGAAGGCUCGUCCGCUCAGGGUUAGUCGGGACCUAAGCCGAGGCCGAUAGGCGUAGGCGAUGGACAACAGGUAGAGAUUCCUGUACCAGUGCUAAUUGUUUAACCGAUGGGGUGACACAGAAGGAUAGGGAAUCGCACGAAUGGAAAUGUGCGUCCAAGCAGUGAGUGUGAGAAGUAGGCAAAUCCGCUUCUCGCGAAGCAUGAGCUGUGAUGGGGAAGGAAAUUAAGUACGGAAGUUCCUGAUUUCACGCUGUCAAGAAAAGCCUCUAGGAAGAGUAGUACUGCCCGUACCGCAAACCGACACAGGUAGAUGAGGAGAGAAUCCUAAGGUGAGCGAGAGAACUCUCGUUAAGGAACUCGGCAAAAUGACCCCGUAACUUCGGGAGAAGGGGUGCUCUAUUAGGGUGCAAGCCCGAGAGAGCCGCAGUGAAUAGGCCCAGGCGACUGUUUAGCAAAAACACAGGUCUCUGCAAAACCGUAAGGUGACGUAUAGGGGCUGACGCCUGCCCGGUGCUGGAAGGUUAAGAGGAGUGCUUAGCUUCGGCGAAGGUACGAAUUGAAGCCCCAGUAAACGGCGGCCGUAACUAUAACGGUCCUAAGGUAGCGAAAUUCCUUGUCGGGUAAGUUCCGACCCGCACGAAAGGCGCAACGAUCUGGGCACUGUCUCAACGAGAGACUCGGUGAAAUUAUAGUACCUGUGAAGAUGCAGGUUACCCGCGACAGGACGGAAAGACCCCGUGGAGCUUUACUGCAACCUGAUAUGGAAUGUUUGUACCGCUUGUACAGGAUAGGUAGGAGCCGAAGAGACGUGUGCGCUAGCAUACGAGGAGGCAAUGGUGGGAUACUACCCUGGCUGUAUGACCAUUCUAACCCGCCACGCUUAGCGCGUGGGGAGACAGUGUCAGGUGGGCAGUUUGACUGGGGCGGUCGCC
Molecule: ribosomal RNA, 1881 nt
Filed under: Listeria monocytogenes
Lineage: Bacteria; Bacillati; Bacillota; Bacilli; Caryophanales; Listeriaceae
Description: partial 23S ribosomal RNA
Rfam family: Bacterial large subunit ribosomal RNA
Source: RNAcentral